AAUAUGUGUUUACCUCCCCACCUAACGAGUCUCGGAAAAGUUCCAUUUUCAAACACACCUAUGUGGGUAUAAGCCGGUGGAAUUAAAUCGACGGUUGACUAAAACGGGUGUUGUAAAUCUGGAGUGUUCUUCAUUUGGUCGGGUAAUACUACGGUACAGUAUGAAGGUGCAAGCGAUUGGUAUAUUUUAUAUCAGUGCGCCACGGGUCGUCGGUAGAGGCGGGCGCUUUGCUCCUGAAUUUCCCGAUUUUCGUCGUGUGUGAACUUUUAGUGUUUGCGAAUUUUGUUUGUGAGAGUGUUCAUUUAUUCCUGAUAAUAAAAGGAUGUUGUUAGCAGAUUAAUAAAAAUACUGUAAAAACCUUCAUAGUACGCCAAAAGACAAUGUAGUGAGUUAUGUCAAAAUGACAGUUCACUAUUAAAAUCAAGAUGGCUGGUGAUUUCGGCGGGAAAAUGGCGUGGCGUGCGCUGCUGUUUGCAGUGCUGUUAGAUAAUGUAAUCUGUCAAGUGGGCUGGACAGAAACGAAUGAAGAUUUAGAAAAAAAGGGCAGCGCCACGUCUGAUGGUGAGUAAAAACGCAUUUGUUAUGUACUACUUAAGGUCUAGUUUUGUAGUUGCAAUUCCACUAAA
Trichoplusia ni (cabbage looper) is the source of this 626-nucleotide long non-coding RNA. RefSeq lists it as uncharacterized. The record is from RefSeq and is a predicted model, not a curated record. NCBI's taxonomy places the organism in Eukaryota, Metazoa, Arthropoda, Insecta, Lepidoptera, Noctuidae. The transcript has 3 exons.